This 539-nucleotide long non-coding RNA is filed under the name Homo sapiens (human). RNAcentral describes it as "non-protein coding MIR583HG:29". The record is from RNAcentral. Lineage: Eukaryota; Metazoa; Chordata; Mammalia; Primates; Hominidae.
ACUAGAGUUUUGCUCCUGGGACGGGACGUCCGAGAGGUCUGCUGGAGUUUGCUGGAGGUGCACUCCAGACCCUGUUUGCCUGGGUAUCACUAGCGGACGCUGCAAAACAACAAAGAUUGCUGCCUGUUCCUUCCUCUGGAAGCUUUGUCCCAGAGGGGCACUCACUAGAUGCCAGGCAGAGUUCUCCUGUAUGAGCUUUUGGUUCCAGAGGGCCAUAGUCUUCAUAUACUUCAGCACUCCAUGAAGGCUUUCUUGGUACUGUUCAAAGGCCAGAGGAUCUACUACCACAGAACCAUUCUAGAUGUGAGUUCCUAGUGUGAAAGGACUGGGAGUUAACAGAAGAGCCACAGUGAGAGUCUCCACCUGACUGCAUUGCUUCAUGGCACUGUGCUUUUGGACAUUUGAUAUCCUUCAGCUAGAAUAUAUUUCUUCAUUGUCCAUUCACAGGAGCCUUCCUUUCUUAAAGACUCAAUUAUACAACAUUCUUUCUACACUUAAACUUCAGAUGAACUGAUUCCAGCAGAAUGGACUCUUAUCUU